AGCCGUAUUGCAGGUUGCAGAUCUUAGGAGAUAACUUAGAAGAUAUGAUGAGCUGUUGCUGUAGGCACACAGCACACUUGAGUGAGGAGUAGGUAUUCAAAGUAAAACAAACCGUCACGAUAUUGCCCUUGCUAGUUCCUGAAUUAAUGAGAAAACAUAGAGAGAUUAGUAAAAUAAAUCAGAUAAAAGUAUGAAAGAUGAGGGUAGAAGAAGAAAAUCUUGUGGCUAAUAAGAAGAGAUGUGAUGGCCUGAAGCAGCUGGCGAUGUAGUGUCGAGGAACUUUGGUGUAGCUGUGGUUGGUAAUUGAGCAAAAGAACUUUAAAAACAGGCAGACACUAAAGGACUCAAGAUGUCAUCUCAGUCAACUAAUGUAGAUCUCACAAUUUCCUAAAGGAUUGCAGAAGAUUCUAAAACUCUCACCGGAAAAUUUUGAAAAGUGCAUUUGUUAUUACCAGUACUGUUGAUAUUAUUUAAGGAACUUGUAUGUUAUGUUAAUAAUAUUCAGACACAUUUGUUAUACUUAAUCAGUAAAAAGAUAUCAGGAUUUUCU
RNAcentral lists this long non-coding RNA (550 nucleotides) under Aquilegia coerulea. RNAcentral describes it as "long non-coding RNA (ACOE_LNC000134)". Lineage: Eukaryota; Viridiplantae; Streptophyta; Magnoliopsida; Ranunculales; Ranunculaceae. The record is from RNAcentral.